GACGAACGCUGGCGGCGUGCCUAAUACAUGCAAGUCGAACGAACCGCGACUGAGUGCUUGCACUUGGUCAAGGUGAGUGGCGAACGGGUGAGUGACACGUGGGUAACCUACCUCAUAGUGGGGGAUAACAGUCGGAAACGACUGCUAAUACCGCAUAGGACAUAGGAUCACAUGAUCCAGUGAGGAAAGGUGGCGCAAGCUAUCGCUAAGAGAUGGACCCGCGGUGCAUUAGCUAGUUGGUAGGGUAAAGGCCUACCAAGGCGAUGAUGCAUAGCCGACCUGAGAGGGUGAUCGGCCACAUUGGGACUGAGACACGGCCCAAACUCCUACGGGAGGCAGCAGUAGGGAAUCUUCCGCAAUGGACGCAAGUCUGACGGAGCAACGCCGCGUGAGUGAAGAAGGUCUUCGGAUCGUAAAGCUCUGUUGUUAGAGAAGAACAGCGCAUAGAGUAACUGCUAUGCGUGUGACGGUAUCUAACCAGAAAGCCACGGCUAACUACGUG
RNAcentral lists this ribosomal RNA (502 nucleotides) under uncultured bacterium. Its description in RNAcentral is "partial 16S ribosomal RNA". It matches the Rfam family "Bacterial small subunit ribosomal RNA", at positions 28 to 507 of the family's 1533-position model. The record is from RNAcentral.